RNAcentral lists this ribosomal RNA (465 nucleotides) under uncultured bacterium. RNAcentral describes it as "partial 16S ribosomal RNA". It matches the Rfam family "Bacterial small subunit ribosomal RNA", at positions 28 to 507 of the family's 1533-position model. The record is from RNAcentral.
GACGAACGCUGGCGGCGUGCUUAACACAUGCAAGUCGAACGGAAAGGCCCCUUUGGGGGUACUUGAGUGGCGAACGGGUGAGUAACAAGUGAGUAACUUGCCCUUGAUUUCGGGUUAACUUCAGGAAACUGGGGCUAAUACCGGAUAGGAAUCCUUUCUGCCUGGUGGGGGUUGGAAAGCUUCGGCGGUUUUGGAUGGACUCGCGGCUUAUCAGCUUGUUGGUGGGGUAGUGGCUUACCAAGGCUUUCACUGGUAGCUGGCCUGGGGGGGCGACCGGCCACAAUGGGACUGGGAUACGGCCCAGACUCCUACGGGAGGCAGCAGUGGGGAAUAUUGCACAAUGGGCGGGAGCCUGAUGCAGCAACGCCGCGGGCGGGAUGACGGCCUUCGGGUUGUAAACCGCUUUCAGCAGGGGCGAAGCUUGUGGUGACGGUACCUGCAGAAGAAGCACCGGCUAACUACGUG